GACAGAUUCUCUCUAAUUGCCAGAAGACUUGCAAAGACGCACACAAAUUCAUCAAGUCCAUUCUAUGGAGAAAAAAGCCUGUUAAUCAUUUCUGUCCGGAGGGCUGCGAAUCUGAGCUCCAAAGCACAAAGUGCGUCUCAUUCAGCCAACACAGGCGUGGCAGGUGUUCGGGUGCGCUCCGGGUCUCAGGGCUCACCCGCCAGGGCUGAAUCUGCAGACGGAUCUGCAGAAGGCCUUUCAUUCAAGGAAUAUUUGGCUUGUCCCGGCCGCAGCCACUGCCCGAGGCGGCAAGGUCAGGCGCCGUCAGCAUCCCGGGCCCGCAGCGGGACCCAGACCCACCCGCCCCGACGCGGGGGGACGCGACUACGGUUCCCGGCAUGCCUCUGCGUCCCGCCCCCCCCCCCCCCCCGACUCCCGCGGGCCGGGCCUUGUGGCCGCAGGGCGGCGCGGAAACACUCGCAAAGUGCGCCUUUCCCACCAGCGGGCCGUGAGCCCGCAAGUUCCAGCGGAAGUCUUCCUGGACCGACCAGGGUUUCCUGGGCUCGGAGGCGCACCCCGUCCUGCGGGACGCCCCACCCCCGGGCGCUCCAGGCGGCCCCGGCCGGACCACGCCCCGGAAGUGGCUCCCGCGGCCCCGCAGGCCGCCGCGGGCCUCGCAGCCACUGCGAGAGGGUCUGGGCGCGGCGGGGCGGGCCCGGGGGCGGGGCCCGCGGGCGGGGGCGGGGCCUGGCCGGGCGUCUCGGCGCCUGGGGCGGGGCCACGGCUCGGGGGCGCGCGUCUGGGUGGCGGCGGGGCCGCGCCCGUGGGGAGAGGCGGCGGCGGCGGCGGCGGCGGCGGCGGGCAGUGGGGAGGGGGUGGGGAGGAGGGACCGGGCCGGGGGGCAGGGCCAGGGAGAGCCGAGCUCCUGAGGCGGCGGCGGCGUCUCCAACGGGGGAGGAGGAGGGCGGGGACGAGGAUGGAGCGGGCGGGGGGUUGGGGCUGGCGCUAGCCGCAGCGGCUCGCCUCGGACCGGGGGAGCGCGGCGGCUGCUCCUCGAGUUGCGGCGUCGGGCGCCGGGCCGGUGCCGCCGCUGCCGCCGCCCCGGGCGGUGGGGGGAGCGGGGCGCGGGAGGCCGGGCGGCGCGCUGGGGAAGGCUGA
Molecule: long non-coding RNA, 1137 nt
Filed under: Canis lupus familiaris (dog)
Lineage: Eukaryota; Metazoa; Chordata; Mammalia; Carnivora; Canidae
Description: lncRNA (ENSCAFG00030013480.1)
Source: RNAcentral